Molecule: ribosomal RNA, 470 nt
Filed under: uncultured bacterium
Lineage: Bacteria
Description: partial 16S ribosomal RNA
Rfam family: Bacterial small subunit ribosomal RNA
Source: RNAcentral
GACGAACGCUGGCUGCGUGCUUAACACAUGCAAGUCGAACGCUGAAGCCCCAGCUUGCUGGGGUGGAUGAGUGGCGAACGGGUGAGUAACACGUGAGUAACCUGCCCCUGACUUCGGGAUAAGCCCGGGAAACUGGGUCUAAUACCGGAUACGACUAUCGGACGCAUGUCUGGUGGUGGAAAGUUUUUUCGGUUGGGGAUGGGCUCGCGGCCUAUCAGUUUGUUGGUGAGGUAAUGGCUCACCAAGACGACGAAGGGUAGCCGGCCUGAGAGGGCGAACGGCCACACUGGAAGUGAGAAGGAGGCCAGAUUCCGACGGGAGGCAGCAGUGGCGAAUAUUGCACAAUGAGGGAAAGCCUGAUGCAGCGAGGCAGCGUGAGGGAGAAAGGCUUUUGGGUUGUAUACCGCUAUCGGCAGGGAAGAAGCCAUGGUGUGACGGUACCUACAGAAGAAGUACUGGCUAACUACGUG